Unclassified non-coding RNA from Dipodomys ordii (Ord's kangaroo rat), 291 nucleotides. Its record names the gene 7SK. It matches the Rfam family "7SK RNA". Rfam says of the family: 7SK was discovered as an abundant small nuclear RNA in the mid-70s but a possible function has only recently been suggested. Two independent studies have found that 7SK RNA binds the CDK9/cyclin T complex (known as elongation factor P-TEFb). The record is from Ensembl. NCBI's taxonomy places the organism in Eukaryota, Metazoa, Chordata, Mammalia, Rodentia, Heteromyidae.
GGAUGUGAAGGCGAUCUGGCUGUGACAUCUGUCGCCCCAUUGAUCGCCAGGAUUGAUUCGGCUGAUCUGGCUGGCUAGGUGGGUGUUGUCCCCUUUUUCCCUCACUGCCCGAUAGAAGAGGACUGGUCUUUGUCAAGGGUAUAUGAGUAGCUGCACUCCCCUGCUAGAACCUCCAAACAAGCUCUCAUAAGCAUAGGUCCUGUGGCCACAAAGACCUUAAUGGUUUGGGCCAUGAGGGAAAUGAUGAGAGACCAUCUAAAAGAAAGAACCAGUAGUUCCUGGGUACCUGAU